RNAcentral lists this ribosomal RNA (496 nucleotides) under uncultured bacterium. RNAcentral's name for it is "partial 16S ribosomal RNA". It matches the Rfam family "Bacterial small subunit ribosomal RNA", at positions 28 to 506 of the family's 1533-position model. The record is from RNAcentral.
GAUGAACGCUGGCGGCGUGCCUAAUACAUGCAAGUCGAGCGAACGGACGAGAAGCUUGCUUCUCUGAUGUUAGCGGCGGACGGGUGAGUAACACGUGGAUAACCUACCUAUAAGACUGGGAUAACUUCGGGAAACCGGAGCUAAUACCGGAUAAUAUUUUGAACCGCAUGGUUCAAAAGUGAAAGACGGUCUUGCUGUCACUUAUAGAUGGAUCCGCGCUGCAUUAGCUAGUUGGUAAGGUAACGGCUUACCAAGGCAACGAUGCAUAGCCGACCUGAGAGGGUGAUCGGCCACACUGGAACUGAGACACGGUCCAGACUCCUACGGGAGGCAGCAGUAGGGAACCUUCCGCAAUGGGCGAAAGCCUGACGGAGCAACGCCGCGUGAAUGAUGAAGGUCUUCGGAUCGUAAAACUCUGUUAUUAGGGAAGAACAUAUGUGUAAGUAACUGUGCACAUCUUGACGGUACCUAAGCAGAAAGCCACGGCUAACUACGU